RNAcentral lists this ribosomal RNA (495 nucleotides) under Staphylococcus pseudintermedius. Its description in RNAcentral is "bacterial SSU rRNA". It matches the Rfam family "Bacterial small subunit ribosomal RNA", at positions 186 to 668 of the family's 1533-position model. Lineage: Bacteria; Bacillati; Bacillota; Bacilli; Caryophanales; Staphylococcaceae. The record is from RNAcentral.
CCGCAUGGUUCUACAGUGAAAGACGGUCUUGCUGUCACUUAUAGAUGGACCCGCGCCGUAUUAGCUAGUUGGUGGGGUAACGGCCUACCAAGGCGACGAUACGUAGCCGACCUGAGAGGGUGAUCGGCCACACUGGAACUGAGACACGGUCCAGACUCCUACGGGAGGCAGCAGUAGGGAAUCUUCCGCAAUGGGCGAAAGCCUGACGGAGCAACGCCGCGUGAGUGAUGAAGGUCUUCGGAUCGUAAAGCUCUGUUGUUAGGGAAGAACAAAUGUGUAAGUAACUGUGCACAUCUUGACGGUACCUAACCAGAAAGCCACGGCUAACUACGUGCCAGCAGCCGCGGUAAUACGUAGGUGGCAAGCGUUAUCCGGAAUUAUUGGGCGUAAAGCGCGCGUAGGCGGUUUUUUAAGUCUGAUGUGAAAGCCCACGGCUCAACCGUGGAGGGUCAUUGGAAACUGGAAAACUUGAGUGCAGAAGAGGAAAGUGGAAUU